UUGUAAACUUGAUGAGAUAUAGAAAUCACU
This 30-nucleotide non-coding RNA is filed under the name Rattus norvegicus (Norway rat). The record is from RNAcentral. Lineage: Eukaryota; Metazoa; Chordata; Mammalia; Rodentia; Muridae.